UGAGUAACCUGCCCUUAACUCUGGGAUAAGCCUGGGAAACUGGGUCUAAUACCGGAUAUGACUCCUCAUCGCAUGGUGGGGGGUGGAAAGCUUUAUUGUGGUUUUGGAUGGACUCGCGGCCUAUCAGCUUAUUGGUGAGGUAAUGGCUCACCAAGGCGACGACGGGUAGCCGGCCUGAGAGGGUGACCGGCCACACUGGGACUGAGACACGGCCCAGACUCCGUACGGGGAGCAG
This 235-nucleotide ribosomal RNA is filed under the name uncultured bacterium. RNAcentral describes it as "partial 16S ribosomal RNA". It matches the Rfam family "Bacterial small subunit ribosomal RNA", at positions 118 to 347 of the family's 1533-position model. The record is from RNAcentral.